UACGUAGGGGGCGAGCGUUGUCCGGAAUCAUUGGGCGUAAAGCGCGUGUAGGCGGCCCGGUAAGUCCGCUGUGAAAGUCCAGGGCUCAACCCUGGGAUGCCGGUGGAUACUGUCGGGCUCGAGUCCGGAAGAGGCGAGUGGAAUUCCUGGUGUAGCGGUGAAAUGCGCAGAUAUCAGGAGGAACACCAAUGGCGAAGGCAGCGCGCUGGGACGUGACUGACGCUGAGACGCGAAAGCGUGGGGAGCAAACAGG
Molecule: ribosomal RNA, 253 nt
Filed under: uncultured bacterium
Lineage: Bacteria
Description: partial 16S ribosomal RNA
Rfam family: Bacterial small subunit ribosomal RNA
Source: RNAcentral